UGAUGUAGCCCUCUUGGGCGUUUCCUCCCUGGACUUGGGCCGCCUGUACUUCAGGCGGCCUUUCUUUUUGUUUGC
This 75-nucleotide small RNA is filed under the name Bradyrhizobium sp. STM 3843. Its description in RNAcentral is "Makes More Granules Regulator RNA (mmgR)". It matches the Rfam family "Makes More Granules Regulator RNA (mmgR)". From Rfam's summary of the family: SuhB later renamed mmgR (makes more granules regulator) was a putative non-coding RNA found multiple times in the Agrobacterium tumefaciens genome and related alpha-proteobacteria. The record is from Rfam by way of RNAcentral. Lineage: Bacteria; Pseudomonadati; Pseudomonadota; Alphaproteobacteria; Hyphomicrobiales; Nitrobacteraceae.